RNAcentral lists this ribosomal RNA (624 nucleotides) under uncultured bacterium. Its description in RNAcentral is "bacterial SSU rRNA". It matches the Rfam family "Bacterial small subunit ribosomal RNA", at positions 223 to 847 of the family's 1533-position model. The record is from RNAcentral.
GGAUGGGGAUGCGUUCCAUUAGUUAGUUGGCGGGGUAACGGCCCACCAAGACAACGAUGGAUAGGGGUUCUGAGAGGAAGGUCCCCCACAUUGGAACUGAGACACGGUCCAAACUCCUACGGGAGGCAGCAGUGAGGAAUAUUGGUCAAUGGACGAGAGUCUGAACCAGCCAAGUAGCGUGAAGGAUGACUGCCCUAUGGGUUGUAAACUUCUUUUAUAUGGGAAUAAAACGUUCCACGUGUGGAAUUUUGUAUGUACCAUAUGAAUAAGGAUCGGCUAACUCCGUGCCAGCAGCCGCGGUAAUACGGAGGAUCCGAGCGUUAUCCGGAUUUAUUGGGUUUAAAGGGAGCGUAGGUGGAUUGUUAAGUCAGUUGUGAAAGUUUGCGGCUCAACCGUAAAAUUGCAGUUGAAACUGGCAGUCUUGAGUACAGUAGAGGUGGGCGGAAUUCGUGGUGUAGCGGUGAAAUGCUUAGAUAUCACGAAGAACUCCGAUUGCGAAGGCAGCUCACUGGACUGCAACUGACACUGAGGCUCGAAAGUGUGGGUAUCAAACAGGAUUAGAUACCCUGGUAGUCCACACAGUAAACGAUGAAUACUCGCUGUUUGCGAUAUACAGCAAGCGGC